RNAcentral lists this long non-coding RNA (4173 nucleotides) under Lactuca sativa (garden lettuce). RNAcentral describes it as "long non-coding RNA (LSAT_LNC001310)". Lineage: Eukaryota; Viridiplantae; Streptophyta; Magnoliopsida; Asterales; Asteraceae. The record is from RNAcentral.
CUAUAUUGUUGUUCAUCAUCUUUUUCCCAUCUUCCAGCCGCCACUUAUCUCCGCCUCUAUUCCUUUCAUCGGGAGUUUAACCCACAAAUAUUCCAGAUCAUGGGUGCACCACCAUCAAAACCAUGCUUCUGUAUCACCUUUCUCUCCCCAUAUAUGUCAUCGAUCCAUCUCAAUCUCAUCGUCUCUGGAAAAAUGUUAACCACGAUGUCGUCACCAGAAAAUGUGAACCAGGAAAAAUCAGCACCGCCUUUCUCAUUCUUUCUCCUUAGUCUUCAUCGACUCCAUCUCCAUCUUAUACCUAAUGAACCAUGGACCAGGAAGUCAAUGCUUAGGGACUUAGGGUUUGUUGAACCGAUCUUGCAUAAGGUGUAUCUGGUUUGUUUAUCGAUCUUGUAUUGGUGUAUUGCAUCUGGGUUCACGAUUCUAGGACACUUCUGGGAUAAAAAUCAAAUUUGAGUAUACGUUCUGGGUAAUUCUAACACCGGUGGGAGGUGGUUAAGCCGGUUGUGGUUAAUGACAGCGGAAGGUGAUUAAGGGAGGCGAUUUCUUCUCAAUCGCUCAUCUUCCAGUAAAUUUAACCCCACCGCUGCCAUCUUUCAACUUCGACGGAAACCACAACCAUCUUUCAACUUCGACGGAAACCACCACCAUCUACCGGUAAACAUAACACCAUUGCUAACAUCCCUUUUUCUUCUUCUUCCCUCUCAACAUCCAAACUCUGACUCUCGACUUUUUAGGUGGGUUUCAUGGCGGUAACUGAGUUUGGGGGUUUGAUUUGGUUAAGGUUUUUUGUUUUUUAAGAUUUGAUUUUGGUUUGAUUUUUAGAAAGGUUAGUUGAUUUUCAGGUUUGGAGUUAGAUUGCAGUUUAAGGUUUUAUUUGGGUGGUGUUAUAGGUUGUGGAUCUAUUUUCCAGUGGCCAGUGUUGGUUGUCGGUAGCUGAUGGUGGCCAAUGGUCGGAGUGAUUAGAGUGGGAGGUGGAGUGGGAGUGCAAGUGGUCCCACCUAUCAAUAAAUCGAAUAAUUUGUUUUCUUUAAAUAAAAAAUAAAAAAAUUAACAAGGGUAUUAUAAUCAUUUCUUAUCGGACAGGGACUUACGCGGUAACAAAAUCAAAAUCUAAGGACAGUCCGAGUGCAAAAAAAAAAAAGAAUGGACCAAACACGUAAUUUUUGACAAACCGACGAUUUCAGUAAUUUGUUCUAAACAAAUAUAUGAAAGUGCAUAUGUAUUAUUUUCAUUUAAACCCAGAAAAAAGGGGAGCAACAACGGUAGGGGCAUGUCUUGAAAUUAGAAAGUUCUUUUUAUAACAUAUAUAAUUUCUUUAUUUUAUUAACUUAUAGGAAUAUGACCUGCGAUGGUAAUUACCUUUUUAUCUUGCUCACGUUUAGGUAAUUUCAUUUUUUUUAUCCAUUUGACCAUUUAACUUGUUAAAUAUGUUCACAGGUGGCAAUGGUAAUAUGUGAAUAUAUUUAACAAAUUAAAUUGUCAAAUAUAUAUAAAAAAACAAAGUUGUCUAAAUGUGAAUAGUUUUUUUUUUACAAAUUUCUUAAAUUUUUUAUAAUUUCUUACAACAUUUUUAUGAUAUUUUUUCACAUUCUUUUUUUUUUUACAAAUUUUUUACAACAUUUUUAUGAUAUUUUUUUUUUCUUAUAAAUUUUUCUAAUACAAUGUUUUAAACUUUGUUUAUAUUUUUUUUUCGACUUUUUUUAUAUUUUCAUAUAAUUUUAAUACAAGUGUUUUUAAACCAAAUAUUUUAUAACUGUUUUAGAAUUCUCUUACAAGUUUUUUACUUUUUAUUUUAUUUUAUUAUUUUUUUUUAACAUUGUCAUUCAAUUUUUCUAUAACUUUCAUACAUUUAUUUCUAAACUUUCUUUACAAUAUUUUUAAAGUGUUUCAAAGAUUUUGUAUGACAAUUUAAUAUUUUUUAUAACAUUUUGAAAUACUUUCGUUAAAUACUAGUUUAAAACAUUGUAUUAAAAAAAUUAAAAGUUUAUAAACUUCUAAGUAAAAGUAUUAAAAAGUUGGAAUAAUUUGUAACGCCCCGAUUCUCAUGUAUUGUUCAAUUAUAGUUUCUAGGUUUUGGCCCUACUCGACGAGUUGGUUGCCCUACUCGUCGAGUAGCAGCGGGAUUGGAUCGCAAAUUAAGUGACUGACUCGGCGAGUCCACUAGUGGGACUCGGCGAGUCCACUAGUGGGACUCGGCGAGUAGGAGCUGGCAAGUGAAACCCUAAUCCCCGGGGUUUGUGUCCCUAUUCAAAGGAGCCUUAGCCUCCUUUGGGCCUCUUUACAGUCUUAGAGAGUCCCUGAAAGGUCUGAUUCGAGUGUGUGUGCUUUGGUGAGUGUGUGAAGCUUGAUUUGAAGAUUUUGGAAGGAGAAGGCUUGAAGGAAGAGGAGGUAGGAGCAAGUAAGGUAGGGAAAUCAUCACUAUUCUCAGUUUUCAUCUUCCAGAGGUAUCCUCAAUCACCAUCUUUUCUGUGAGUUUCCUUUCUAUGAAGUUCUAGGGUUUUCUUUGGACUUUAAGGGUUGAUAAAUUGAACAAUGAGUUGGAUCUGAAGUUGUAAUUUCAGAUCUGAACCCUCCCUAAGCUCCAGCAACAUAAAGUCACAGAAUUGAUCAUGUAUGAGGUCCCUCAUGGGCAUGAAGCCCCAUUAAGAGCUUAGAUUUGGCAUUUAGAGCCUUAAAAGCAAUGCAUGUACGUAAAGUUUGUGACUUUACGCGAUACGUAUGCCAUAGAAGCUAGAUCUAUGAAUUGGAGCCACCGCAUGGACCAGAAUAAGUCUAUAUGGAAAAAGGACCGAACGGACUCAGGGAAUCACAAGGAUGACUCGGCGAGUCUAAUGAAGAAAGCCAUGAACUCGACGAGUUGGAUGAACAACCCGGCGAGUCCGAUGAAGAUCGUCAUGAAACUUGGCGAGUUGAUGAACAACUCGGCGAGUCGGAUGAACUUCCCCCAAAGAUAUGAACACAUAUGUACCCGUCGAGUUUUGCUUAGGAAACCCGACGAGUGGCUUUAGAGUUCAGUCGAAAAACAAGGGAAACUCGACAAGUCACUCAAUGACUCGGUGAGUGCACCGGAAGCCAAGGAAACUCAGCGAGUAGCCGAGGGAACUCGGCAAGUCAGGUCAACAUGGACUAUUGACCUUGACUGUUGACUUUGACCAUUGACCCAGGUUGAUCUGUUGACUUUUGAGGACAGUUCUAGAUGAAUCAGAAACUUACAUAUACAACUCGUGAUGAAUAUAGGUGGUGAAGUUCGUGAUAGUGACCUGAGGGUUGGAGCUUAUUUCUGUGAGUCGACGUUGCAAGGUGAGUUAUCCUCACUAUACUAAGGGGUCUAAGGCACCAAGGCCGACCCAUUGGAUUUGAUAUCCUAGUAGUUAUUGUUAUGUUGAGUCUGAGUUAGUGAUGCAUGCCAAUUGAUGUGCUAGUCGGGUAGAUCUAUAGGACUGCUGGUGAUACUGAUUGAUUACCUGUAUGUGUAUUUAUCUGUUACAUGUCGACAUGUUAUGUGGGGUGGGUUGAAGCUGUACUGCUCCGUGCGGUAGCCAACAAACCCGAGAGUAUUCCAGAUAUGAUUUGAGGGCCCGGUAGGCAUUCCAGACUCAUACUGAGGACUCGAGAGCAUUCCAGAUAUGAGCUGAGGGCCCGAUAGGCAUUCCAGACUCGUACUGAGGGCUCGAUGGCAUUCCAGAUACAAGCUGAUGGCCUGGUAGGCAUUCCAGACUCGUACUGAGGGCCUAGGGGUAGUCCAGCUUGUAAAGCUGUGGACCCAGUGCAUGAUGUUCUGUUUUUAUUGAUAUAAUCUGCUAAUGUUGAUAUUGCUAUGUGAACUGUAUGUGUAUCGGUAUUUUGGGGUAACUCACUAAGCUUUCAGGCUUACAGUUUCAGUUUAUUGUUUCAGGUACCUCAGGGGAUCGCGGCAAGGCCAAGGCGUGAUCGUACAGCUCCUCCUAUUAUGUUAUGUUUCUGAGAAAAGACUAUGAUAAUCAAUGUUUUGAAAACAAAGUUGUAAUAUAUUGAUGAACUUGACAUGUUUUUAAAAGUUUAAAUUUAUUUGAAAUUUUGAAUGUUACAAGUUGGUAUCAGAGCCUUGGUUUGAGUGAAUAGGAGGAACAUUCGUGUGAAUCCAGUCCCAAAUCAAGGAACGGUUUUCAAAAAUGUUUUAAGAAAAAUGGU